This 466-nucleotide ribosomal RNA is filed under the name Vreelandella stevensii. RNAcentral describes it as "partial 16S ribosomal RNA". It matches the Rfam family "Bacterial small subunit ribosomal RNA", at positions 338 to 795 of the family's 1533-position model. The record is from RNAcentral. Lineage: Bacteria; Pseudomonadati; Pseudomonadota; Gammaproteobacteria; Oceanospirillales; Halomonadaceae.
CCUACGGGAGGCUGCAGUGGGGAAUAUUGGACAAUGGGCGAAAGCCUGAUCCAGCCAUGCCGCGUGUGUGAAGAAGGCCUUCGGGUUGUAAAGCACUUUCAGUGGGGAAGAAAGCCUUGGGGCUAAUACCCUCGAGGAAGGACAUCACCCACAGAAGAAGCACCGGCUGAACUCCGUGCCAGCAGCCGCGGUAAUACGGAGGGUGCGAGCGUUAAUCGGAAUUACUGGGCGUAAAGCGCGCGUAGGCGGUCUGAUAAGCCGGUUGUGAAAGCCCCGGGCUCAACCUGGGAACGGCAUCCGGAACUGUCAGGCUAGAGUGCAGGAGAGGAAGGUAGAAUUCCCGGUGUAGCGGUGAAAUGCGUAGAGAUCGGGAGGAAUACCAGUGGCGAAGGCGGCCUUCUGGACUGACACUGACGCUGAGGUGCGAAAGCGUGGGUAGCAAACAGGAUUAGAUACCCGAGUAGUC